This is a long non-coding RNA of Macadamia integrifolia, 841 nucleotides long. RefSeq lists it as uncharacterized. The record is from RefSeq and is a predicted model, not a curated record. The transcript has 3 exons. NCBI's taxonomy places the organism in Eukaryota, Viridiplantae, Streptophyta, Magnoliopsida, Proteales, Proteaceae.
AAAAAAAGUGCCCACUCCCAAUAGAAACCUCAAAACCCCCUUUUCAUAAAACCUCCCUUCUCUCACGCAGCUUUCGCAGCUCAUUCCCGUCUCUCACGCAACUCUCGCCGCUCACUCUCGUUGCUCAGGCUGCUCUCGUAGGUAUCUCUCUCUCUCUCGCUCUCUCAGGGUUCAGUUUUAGGGAAGAUUUCGAAAACCAAGGCGAGAGAGGGGACAGUUGCAAGAGUACCUUGGUGUGGAUUCUAGGGGUGUUUCUGGGAAGGGAAGUAACUAGGUUAUGGAUUAAAUCUUUAGUGUGUAUUAGCCAAUUCGUAAUGUUACCGGAUCCAAUCCGACCAUGCUACAUUGCAGAAUUGGAGAAGGGGCAGAGUAGAAAGAAAGUGCCUAAAUAAUGAGAAAAACCAUGACCAGAAGCUUUUCUUCCUCCUACUGUACAUGUGUCCCUUCAGCAUGAAGAACUCUCAACUUUGAGAGGAACCUGGAAGGUUCAGGUAGGACUCUUAUCUGGUUGUUACUUAUAUCCAGUUGUUCAAGCAUUUCAAGAUCUCCAAUUGAGCUUGGUAGAGCUGAAAGAUCCGCAAAAUUAUUCCCAACAUUCAAUUUCACAAGACAAGUUGCAGAACACAAGUUCUCAGGUAAAUUUGAAACUUCGUUGAAGCUGAUGUCAAGUUCCUUCAACCUGGAAAGAUUACCAAUGGUAGUAGGUAACCCUGUGAUUCUGUUAUAGUGCAAUGUAAGGAUCUCCAAGCAUUCAAGCUUCCCAAUUGCUUCUGGAAGUGCUUUUAGUUUGUAGUAGUAUUCAUACCAAAAUUUGAGGUUUGUAGUAGUAUUCAUACCAAAA